Molecule: ribosomal RNA, 460 nt
Filed under: uncultured bacterium
Lineage: Bacteria
Description: partial 16S ribosomal RNA
Rfam family: Bacterial small subunit ribosomal RNA
Source: RNAcentral
CCUACGGGAGGCAGCAGUGAGGAAUAUUGGUCAAUGGACGAGAGUCUGAACCAGCCAAGUAGCGUGAAGGAUGACUGCCCUAUGGGUUGUAAACUUCUUUUAUAUGGGAAUAAAAUGUUCCACGUGUGGGAUUUUGUAUGUACCAUAUGAAUAAGGAUCGGCUAACUCCGUGCCAGCAGCCGCGGUAAUACGGAGGAUCCGAGCGUUAUCCGGAUUUAUUGGGUUUAAAGGGAGCGUAGGUGGAUUGUUAAGUCAGUUGUGAAAGUUUGCGGCUCAACCGUAAAAUUGCAGUUGAAACUGGCAGGCUUGAGUACAGUAGAGGUGGGCGGAAUUCGUGGUGUAGCGGUGAAAUGCUUAGAUAUCACGAAGAACUCCGAUUGCGAAGGCAGCUCACUGGACUGCAACUGACACUGAGGCUCGAAAGUGUGGGUAUCAAACAGGAGUAGAUACCCCAGUAGUC